This 1052-nucleotide ribosomal RNA is filed under the name uncultured beta proteobacterium. RNAcentral describes it as "bacterial SSU rRNA". It matches the Rfam family "Bacterial small subunit ribosomal RNA", at positions 8 to 966 of the family's 1533-position model. The record is from RNAcentral. Lineage: Bacteria; Pseudomonadati; Pseudomonadota; Betaproteobacteria.
AGAGUUUGAUCCUGGCUCAGAUUGAACGCUGAUGCUUUACACUGCAAGUCGAACGGUAACAGGCCUUCGGGCGCUGACGAGUGGCGAACGGGUGAGUAAUGCAUCGGAACGUGCCCAGAGGUGGGGGAUAACGCAGCGAAAGCUGUGCUAAUACCGCAUAUUAUCUGAGGAUGAAAGCGGGGGACUUUGGCCUCGCGCCUUUGGAGCGGCCGAUGUCAGAUUAGGUAGUUGGUGGGGUAAAGGCCUACCAAGCCGACGAUCUGUAGCUGGUCUGAGAGGACGACCAGCCACACUGGGACUGCCUACCAAGCCGACGAUCUGUAGCUGGUCUGAGAGGACGACCAGCCACACUGGGACUGCCUACCAAGCCGACGAUCUGUAGCUGGUCUGAGAGGACGACCAGCCACACUGGGACUGAACACGGCCCAGACUUCUACGGGAGGCAGCAGUGGGGAAUUUUGGACAAUGGGCGCAAGCCUGAUCCAGCAAUGCCGCGUGCAGGAAGAAGGCCUUCGGGUUGUAAACUGCUUUUGUACGGAACGAAAAGGCUCUGGUUAAUACCUGGGGCUCAUGACGGUACCGUAAGAAUAAGCACCGGCUAACUACGUGCCAGCAGCCGCGGUAAUACGUAGGGUGCAAGCGUUAAUCGGAAUUACUGGGCGUAAAGCGUGCGCAGGCGGUGAUGUAAGACAGGCGUGAAAUCCCCGGGCUCAACCUGGGAAUGGCGCUUGUGACUGCAUCGCUGGAGUGCGGCAGAGGGGGAUGGAAUUCCGCGUGUAGCAGUGAAAUGCGUAGAUAUGCGGAGGAACACCGAUGGCGAAAGCAAUCCCCUGGGCCUGCACUGACGCUCAUGCACGAAAGCGUGGGGAGCAAACAGGAUUAGAUACCCUGUAGUCCACGCCCUAAACGAUGUCAACUGGUUGUUGGGUCUUAGCUGACUCAGUAACGAAGCUAACGCGUGAAGUGACCGCCUGGGGAGUACGGCCGCAGUGAAACUCAAAGGAAUUGACGGGACCGCACAGCGUGAUGAUGUGUUAUCGAUGCACGCGAAA